CAACGAAUCUUCCGCAAUGGGCGCAAGCCUGACGGAGCAACGCCGCGUGUUGGAAGAAGUCCCUCGGGAUGUAAACAACUGUCAGGGGUUAGGAAUUUUGACCAGCCCCAGAGGAAGCCUCGGCUAACUCCGUGCCAGCAGCCGCGGUAAUACGGAGGAGGCGAGCGUUGUUCGGAAUCACUGGGCUUAAAGCGCGUGCAGGCUGGACGGGAGGUGUCUUGUGAAAUCCCUCGGCUCAACCGAGGAAUGGCUUGGCAAACCAUCGUCCUUGAGGCGGGUAGAGGCAACCGGAACUAUGGGUGGAGCGGUGAAAUGCGUAGAUAUCCAUGGGAACGCCUGUGGCGAAAGCGGGUUGCUGGGCUCGUCCUGACGCUGAGACGCGAAAGCGUAGGUAGCAAACGGGAUUAGAUACCCCCGUAGUCC
Molecule: ribosomal RNA, 423 nt
Filed under: uncultured prokaryote
Description: bacterial SSU rRNA
Rfam family: Bacterial small subunit ribosomal RNA
Source: RNAcentral